UGUGUAUAUAUUGUGUGUAUAUAUAGUGUGUAUAUACUGUGUAUAUAUACACACGUGUACAUGUGUAUACAUACAUACGUAUACACAUACUCACACACAAUGCUAAAUUAAGUAGCCUUUAGUUACAUGGUCCUGAGUUUCCAGUGGGCCAGUGGCCCUCAACAGCAGAAAGCUCUCCACACUCACCGCCAGCAGUUGGAAACUCCUUUCUGGAGGAGUCCUGGGCCCCCCCACUGUUUUGACUUAGGAGGCAGCACUUGUAUCUCCAUUUACCCAAAAUGCUUGCUGUCAUUUCCUGAUAAUAACAGUAGCGCUUGCCCCUUGUAGAGAACAGAGAUACCGCAGGAAAGCAUUCACCUAGAAGCCUUCUGUACAGAGAAUUGUUGCUAGGAGCCUCCUUAGAGGUUUAUUUUUCCAGGUUAUCAUAUGUGAAGAGGAAAGGAAAGGACCUUUUGACAUGCUAAUAGAUUUGCAGAGCCUGGAAAUGAUAUGAAAUGUGUCCUUUUCCCAGAGCUGAGUCAUUCUCCUCUUCGCUCCUUGUAGGAAAAACACAGUGACCUUUCCUUCCUCGGGCAGGCUGGGGUGAGGACACGUUGUACGGACCUCACAGAACCCUUCUUGGCCAUCUCUCGCUGUGCGUUGUUCUCCAAGCAGAAGGGAGCACACUGCUGACGAGGGCAAGAGUGGAGGCGAUGUGGUUUAUAAAGCACUUGGACACAGUCUUGCAUCAAUAUUUGGGCAGUGGUUUAUACAGAGCAGGACUCUCAGCCUGAGGUGAUGGGGUUCAAGGAUUCUCUGGCAGUUUACCCAGACUACACAGGCCCUUUCCGCUGUCACAGCCUGGCAAGUGCCAGGUGUUCGGGAGUCAUGGCAAGUGGUUCAGCAGAGGCCCGUGGGUAAUUCUCAUCCUAUCCUCUCCUUCUCCACCUGCUGAGACAGAGGCGCCAUCCACAGAGCUGCACGAGGCAGAGAACAGAAGGCACCCUUCGCGCCUCUCCUCCUCUCAUUCUUUGACUGGAGGACCUAAAACAGGUGGAAGACGCUGGCAGCCUGGCAGAACUGUGGCUGUCGCUGUCGGCAGGACCGACAGCGCAGAAGGAGCCUGCCACACACUCGACACCGAGUAACUUAUCAACCUGGAAUUCAACGAAUUUGCUAGUCACUGAGUUUUGGGUUUAAACAACUAAACAAAGCGCCUAAAAAACAAAAAAAAAACCCAAAACAGAAACAAAAAUAAUUAUUGAUUUCAAGACUCUGUAUAUUCCAAAAGUCACCGACAUGCGCAAUCCGUUUGAUCCACGGAAGGAGAACAAAGAUAAAUGAAGAGAAUUAGGACUGAAUUCUCUUUCCGAUCUGCUUCUUCAACAAAUGCACAUCAGUGAUCCACUGAGCCUAAGUUUUCCAUCUAGUCUGAAGACUGAGGUGCAUACGACAUUACUUUUUUUGUCACUGUGUAGUUUCAAAUCACACUGCUCCAGCUAUAGCAUUUUCUUUCAUCAAGUUAAAUAUAAUCUGUCAAGGAAUGGUGGUUCCUCUUGUUACGUUCACGAACUCUUAGAAUUGAUGCCUUUUUAAAGUCACAGUUCUGACCAUGUCUAAAGUGACGUUAGUCUACCUGGGAUAAACUAACUCAGCCAAGACUUGGUAGCUAGAAGAUCCAAGAACUGCACAACAGGCUAUGUAAAGGGAUCUAACACUCUGUUUAGGAACUUACAUAUUUUUGUUAAAGAGAAAAACGUUAUUUCAUUAAUUCUGGCUUAGAAUCUUAAGACAAUAAAAGCAAAUUACAACAUUU
Long non-coding RNA from Equus quagga, 1795 nucleotides. RefSeq lists it as uncharacterized. The record is from RefSeq and is a predicted model, not a curated record. The transcript is spliced from 3 exons. NCBI's taxonomy places the organism in Eukaryota, Metazoa, Chordata, Mammalia, Perissodactyla, Equidae.